Molecule: unclassified non-coding RNA, 1288 nt
Filed under: Yarrowia lipolytica
Lineage: Eukaryota; Fungi; Ascomycota; Dipodascomycetes; Dipodascales
Source: RNAcentral
UUUGGUCUGGCAAUUUCAACCCAUUUGGCCUUGUCUUUCUAUCCCUCUCCGUUCUCGUUUCAGAUGCCCCUUCCUCCCCCUUCCCCCACCUUCUAUGCUCAACUACGGCUAUACGAAAGUGUACUUGGAUUGUGGAGACGUGGGGACGUCGAGGAAGCUUAUGAAUUACGAGUUGGGCGGAUGUGCCAGUACCAGGAUGGACGAGGAUGGACGGAGAUGGAUGAGGAUGGUAUCAUCGUCAAUCUGUGGUCACGUGAUCGGCCGUUUGGCUUUUGGGCCGGGGAUUGUUUCUAACCGAGUAAUUAGCCGAGUAUUAAGCGAGGUGAAAUUGAGGUGGAAAAUGGUGGAAGGGUGGACGGGUGGAAAGGGUGGAAAAAAGGCGGAAAAAGGUGGAAAAAGGUGGGAAAAGGGCGGAAAGUUGACAAGCGACGAUCAGAACAGAUCGGAUCAGACUUGUGGCUUAUUGUGGCUUGAGAUAAACUCGCGCGGAGGGCGUUUGCGGAGUCUAGCCUGAUUGGUAGGGGGGUUGUCGGUCAACUGAAUCAGUUCGGAUCGCGUCGCACCAGAUGGAGAAGACAUACUGCGAGUGGCACAGCCAUUCGGACUAACACGAAACGUUUGAUGGGCCCAGGCGGCGACUUGUACGAGCCACUUGUGUGACAGCUACGUCUAUACCAAAGGUUGCCGGAUUGCAGAAGGUACUCCAACCGAGAUGAGACAUGUUAUAUCUACACGACUCUCGCUUCUGACAACUGCCAUGGUGCAAUAGAGAUGUCAAUCUCACCCAGAAGUCGACCUUCAGUCAUCGCCGACUGAUAACAUGACAACCAAACUCCCAGACGGUGUCUUCUCGGGGUUGAUUUUGGUCAUGAUCUUGGACUCGCUGACCUACAAGACCUUGGAGUCAAAAUGAAGCUGUUCAGCUGCUGUAAUGGACCUAGCAAGACGGAUCAACUAAAUCCAAGCCGGUUUCAGUCAUUGCAAUUGUCUGAUACACAUCCCAAUGGCAGGAACGCACAGGGCCUCAAUUGACAUUGACGUAAAGAAGAUUCCUAGAUCUACCAGUACAAGUACAAGUACACUGUACAUACUCUUACUGUACCGUAUGUACCUGGCACGGUCGACUUUUUCUCACAUAAGUGCAGUACGGCGCUCUAUCAACUGUCUCAUUGGUACAAGUAAGCCCAUGUGCACCGAAAAACCGAACAAACCAAACAAUACAGUACAGUAUGUACUCCAUAUCGCACUUUAUCAUCUCUACCAAAUGACAUCUGCGAGAAUCGAACUC